This is a long non-coding RNA of Helianthus annuus (common sunflower), 432 nucleotides long. RefSeq lists it as uncharacterized. Lineage: Eukaryota; Viridiplantae; Streptophyta; Magnoliopsida; Asterales; Asteraceae. The transcript has 3 exons. The record is from RefSeq and is a predicted model, not a curated record.
CCCUAGCUCAAGCAAACCAAGCAAUUGAAUCCAAAUUCUCAAGCUAAUCCAGUGCAUGAGUCAAUAAAUUCGAAUAGCUAACCCCAAUUUCUUAAGUGGCGUGAAGGAAGAAGGUACGAGCGCUAAGAAAACGGAAGGCACGCAAGACCGAGGUAAAUCCUCAAUUUAGGCGACUUGGAGAAUCAGAGCGAGCACGUGUUCAUGCUAUGUCAUACUAAGCGCUUCCGCUAGCUUGUACUAAUGUUUUUGGUCAAAUACUUGUUGGUUUUGUAUAACUUAGUUAGAAGUCAUACUUUUUAAAAAACUUGUAGUCUUGGUUUUUGGUAGUUUCAAGUCGAACGAAUCGUAGAAUUGUAUUUAGUUUGAUUAUGGUUAAAACAGGGGUAUAUCCGUUUUACGGACGGGUCAUGCCCAAAUUUUGUCAAGAGUAUG